Molecule: transfer RNA, 73 nt
Filed under: Chelydra serpentina (North American snapping turtle)
Lineage: Eukaryota; Metazoa; Chordata; Testudines; Chelydridae
Description: tRNA-Phe
Rfam family: tRNA
About the family: Transfer RNA (tRNA) molecules are approximately 80 nucleotides in length. Their secondary structure includes four short double-helical elements and three loops (D, anti-codon, and T loops). Further hydrogen bonds mediate the characteristic L-shaped molecular structure. tRNAs have two regions of fundamental functional importance: the anti-codon, which is responsible for specific mRNA codon recognition, and the 3' end, to which the tRNAs corresponding amino acid is attached (by aminoacyl-tRNA synthetases). tRNAs cope with the degeneracy of the genetic code in two manners: having more than one tRNA (with a specific anti-codon) for a particular amino acid; and 'wobble' base-pairing, i.e. permitting non-standard base-pairing at the 3rd anti-codon position.
Source: RNAcentral
GCCAUAGUAGCUCAGUUGGGAGAGCGUUAGACUGAAGAUUUAAUGGUCCCUGGUUCAAUCCGGGGCUUUGGCA